AUUGAACGCUGGCGGCAUGCCUUACACAUGCAAGUCGAACGGCAGCACGGGAGCAAUCCUGGUGGCGAGUGGCGAACGGGUGAGUAAUAUAUCGGAACGUGCCCAGUCGUGGGGGAUAACGUAGCGAAAGCUACGCUAAUACCGCAUACGAUCUAUGGAUGAAAGCGGGGGAUCGCAAGACCUCGCGCGAUUGGAGCGGCCGAUAUCAGAUUAGGUAGUUGGUGAGGUAAAGGCUCGCCAAGCCGACGAUCUGUAGCUGGUCUGAGAGGACGACCAGCCACACUGGGACUGAGACACGGCCCAGACUCCUACGGGAGGCAGCAGUGGGGAAUUUUUGGGACAAAUGGGCGCAAGCCUGAUCCAGCAAUGCCGCGUGCAGGAUGAAGGCCUUCGGUU
This 396-nucleotide ribosomal RNA is filed under the name uncultured bacterium. Its description in RNAcentral is "bacterial SSU rRNA". It matches the Rfam family "Bacterial small subunit ribosomal RNA", at positions 30 to 423 of the family's 1533-position model. The record is from RNAcentral.